Molecule: ribosomal RNA, 428 nt
Filed under: uncultured bacterium
Lineage: Bacteria
Description: bacterial SSU rRNA
Rfam family: Bacterial small subunit ribosomal RNA
Source: RNAcentral
UGAGGAAUUUUGCGCAAUGGCCGCAAGGCUGACGCAGCAACGCCGCGUGGGUGAUGAAGGCCUUCGGGUCGUAAAGCCCUGUCAGGUGGGAAGAAAGGCCUGGAGAGGAAAGGUUUCAGGUUUGACGGUACCACCAGAGGAAGCACCGGCUAACUCCGUGCCAGCAGCCGCGGUAAUACGGAGGGUGCGAGCGUUAUUCGGAAUUACUGGGCGUAAAGCGCGUGUAGGCGGGGAGACAAGUCUGAUGUGAAAGCCCUGGGCUUAACCUGAGAAGUGCAUUGGAAACUGUUUUUCUUGAGUACUGGAGAGGAAGGGGGAAUUCCCGGUGUAGAGGUGAAAUUCGUAGAGAUCGGGAGGAAUACCAGUGGCGUAGGCGCCCUUCUGGACGGUAACUGACGCUGAGACGCGAAAGCGUGGGGAGCAAACAG